This 187-nucleotide ribosomal RNA is filed under the name uncultured bacterium. RNAcentral's name for it is "partial 16S ribosomal RNA". It matches the Rfam family "Bacterial small subunit ribosomal RNA", at positions 1316 to 1500 of the family's 1533-position model. The record is from RNAcentral.
CUGCGUGAAGUCGGAAUCGCUAGUAAUCGCGGAUCAGCAUGCCGCGGUGAAUACGUUCCCGGGCCUUGUACACACCGCCCGUCACACCAUGAGAGUCGGGAACACCCGAAGCCCGUAGCCUAACUUUAACGAGAGGGCGCGGUCGAAGGUGGGUUCGAUAAUUGGGGUGAAGUCGUAACAAGGUACC